Oncorhynchus tshawytscha (Chinook salmon) is the source of this 812-nucleotide long non-coding RNA. Lineage: Eukaryota; Metazoa; Chordata; Actinopteri; Salmoniformes; Salmonidae. The record is from Ensembl.
UCACAAUAAUAGAUGGGUGUUGGUUAAAUGGUAGGUCCCGGUAGUCACAACAAUAGAUGGGUGUAGGUUUAAUGGUAGGUCCCGGUAGUCACAACAAUAGAUGGGUGUUGGUUAAAUGGUAGGUCCCGGUAGUCACAACAAUAGAUGGGUGUUGGUUAAAUGGUAGGUCCCGGUAGUCACAACAAUAGAUGGGUGUUGGUUAAAUGGUAGGUCCCGGUAGUCACAACAAUAGAUGGGUGUUGGUUAAAUGGUAGGUCCCGGUAGUCACAACAAUAGAUGGGUGUUGGUUAAAUGGUAGGUCCCGGUAGUCACAACAAUAGAUGGGGUGUUGGUUAAAUGGUAGGUCCCGGUAGUCACAACAAUAGAUUGGGUGUUGGUUAAAUGGUAGGUCCUGGUAGUCACAACAAUAGAUGGGGUGUUGGUUAAAUGGUAGGUCCUGGUAGUCACAACAAUAGAUGGGGUGUUGGUUAAAUGGUAGGUCCCGGUAGUCACAUUAAUAGAUGGGGUGUUGGUUAAAUUGUGAUUUUAAUGAAUGGAGAGAAUUUGGAGCCCAGUUUUUUUUUCUCCUGUGAGUGCAGAGCGGUUCGAAAGGUCAUGGAAGACCCUCUCUGCUGUGAGCGGGAUUUUCAACUGCUAAACUCUGUUCAUAUGGUCUGCCCUCCGCUGAGACUGACCAUCACAUGGAGGCACCAUCAGCCCAGUAAAAUCAAAAGCAAAUUAUUUGAAUGUGUGCUCACUCAGCUGUGCCUCACAAGUAAUACAACAACAGAUCUAUUACCGAUGUGAUCAUAUAGCCCAUCUCAAAUAUUGAA